GAUGAACGCUGGCGGCGUGCCUAAUACAUGCAAGUCGAGCGAACAGACGAGGAGCUUGCUCCUCUGACGUUAGCGGCGGACGGGUGAGUAACACGUGGAUAACCUACCUAUAAGACUGGGAUAACUUCGGGAAACCGGAGCUAAUACCGGAUAAUAUAUUGAACCGCAUGGUUCAAUAGUGAAAGACGGUUUUGCUGUCACUUAUAGAUGGAUCCGCGCCGCAUUAGCUAGUUGGUAAGGUAACGGCUUACCAAGGCAACGAUGCGUAGCCGACCUGAGAGCGAGAUCGGCCACACUGGAACUGAGACACGGUCCAGACUCCUACGGGAGGCAGCAGUAGGGAAUCUUCCGCAAUGGGCGAAAGCUUGACGGAGCAACGCCGCGUGAGUGAUGAAGGUCUUCGGAUCGUAAAACUCUGUUAUUAGGGAAGAACAAAUGUGUAAGUAACUAUGCACGUCUUGACGGUACCUAAUCAGAAAGCCACGGCUAACUACGUG
This 497-nucleotide ribosomal RNA is filed under the name uncultured bacterium. RNAcentral describes it as "partial 16S ribosomal RNA". It matches the Rfam family "Bacterial small subunit ribosomal RNA", at positions 28 to 507 of the family's 1533-position model. The record is from RNAcentral.